Long non-coding RNA from Cyprinus carpio (common carp), 1797 nucleotides. The record is from Ensembl. Lineage: Eukaryota; Metazoa; Chordata; Actinopteri; Cypriniformes; Cyprinidae.
AUAACAGUUCACCCAAAAUAUUUUUGCUACUAUCAGUUCGGUCAUUAAUUAUAAUUAAUGUCUAACUAUAAUUAAUUUCUAACUAUAAUUUGGCCAUUAACUUUUUUUCCUGCCCUGGAUGCACCGAUACCACUUUUUCCAGUACUCACCCGAUACCGAUACUUUUAUUUUUGGUACUUGCCGAUACCGAGUACCGUUACCGAUAUUUUAAUUGCAUUUAUUAAUUAUAAUUUUUUAAAUAUUGGGUACAGAAACCAAAAGAGUAUGCAUAAUGUUAGCUGGUUGACUUCAUUUAUUAAAUAGAUACAGUCAAACCAAAAUUUAUUCAGACACCUUCAACAUUUCACAUUAUCACAGUUUAUUCUCUAUAGUGUAGAAGAUGGUAAUAAAAUAUGACAAGAACUGUGUCAGAACAAAUUCAUCUUGAUAAUGUUAGAUAACGUUGAUAGAAAGGUAUGUAAUGGAUUACAAUCAACCAAAAAUUAUUCAGACAGUAUGACAGUAUUUACACAACUAUCAAUACUUAGUCGGGCAUGUUAUGUGGGAGUGUUUUAAUCUGUGUUUCAUUGCAGUUUCCCUGGUAGCUCUCGUGCAAUUAAUGGGUUAAUUGGAUCCACCUGAAGGGAGACACUUUAAAUCUAGGACACAUGCUCUUGCUCUUCUCUUUUUUCUCGUAUUUUUGUUUUGUGUCCUUUAUGUUGCAUCCCUAGAGCCAGGGUUGUAACAUAAUGGGGGCUCGUCCAAUUUGGUUUGUAAAAAGCAUUUGUUUCUUUUGAUAUUUUGGGGACUGUUUUUGUUUAUUCCUUUUGGUUGAGAGCAUUUGGUGAGUAUGGUUGUUUGAGUAUUUUUGAAUGAGUGGAAGAGGGAUGCGUAAGUUAGGGGAGUUAAGCAUUUUGAGGCACUUUUGUGUUUAUUUGGUCCAUGAUCCUAACUUUAAAGUGUUAGUAGUGUUUGUGAGAAGUUCCUUUGUGGACUUUAGUCAAGUCAAGUCAAGUCACUUUUAUUUAUAUAGCGCUUUAAACAAAAAAGAUUGCGUCAAAGCAACUGAACAACAUUAAUUAGGAAAACAGUGUGUCAAUAAUGCAAAAUGACAGUUAAAAGGCAGUUCAUCAUUGAAUUCAGUGAUGUCAUCAUCUCAGUUCAGUUUAAAUAGUAUCUGUGCAAUCAUUUGCAAUCAAGUCAACGAUAUCGCUGUAAAUGAAGUGUCCCCAACUAAGCAAGCCAGAGGCCACAGCGGCAAGGAACCAAAACUCCAUCGGUGACAGAAUGGAGAAAAAACCUUGGGAGAAACCAGGCUCAGUCGGGGGGCCAGUUCUCCUCUGACCAGACGAAACCAGCAGUUCAAUUCCAGGUUGCAGAAAAGUCAGAUUGUGCAGAAGAAUCAUCUGUUCCUGUGGUCUUGUCCCGGUGGUCGUCUGAGACAAGGUCUUUACAGGGGAUCUGUAUCUGGGGCUCUAGGUGUCCUGGUCUCCGCUGUCUUUCAGGGCUGUAGAGGUCCUUUCUAGGUGCUGAUCCACCAUCUGGGCUGGAUACAUACUGGAUCCGGGUGACUGCAGUGACCCUCUGACUUGGAUACAGACUGGAUCUGGUGGCUACGGUGACCUCGGAAUAAGAGAGAAACAAACUAAUAUGAGCGUAGAUGCCAUUCUUCUAACGAUGUAGCAAGUACACCGGGUGUUAUGGGAAGUGUUCCCGGUUCCGGUUUACCUAAUUAAUGCAGCCUAAAAAUCCUUUAACGGAUUUGGAUAUUAGAAGUGUAUUAGUAUGUUAUGUGUAAGCCAGGUGAAAGAGAAAGAG